AACGAACGCUGGCGGCGUGCUUAACACAUGCAAGUCGAACGCGAAAGGGACUUCGGUCCUGAGUAAAGUGGCGCACGGGUGAGUAACACGUGGAUAAUCUACCCAGUGUUCCGGGAUAACAUCUCGAAAGGGGUGCUAAUACCGGAUAAGCCCACGGGAACUUCGGUUCUUGCGGGAAAAGGUGGGGACCUUCGGGCCUACUGUCACUGGAUGAGUCCGCGGCCCAUUAGCUAGUUGGUAGGGUAAUGGCCUACCAAGGCUACGAUGGGUAGCUGGUCUGAGAGGAUGAUCAGCCACACUGGAACUGAGACACGGUCCAGACUCCUACGGGAGGCAG
RNAcentral lists this ribosomal RNA (337 nucleotides) under uncultured Pseudomonadota bacterium. RNAcentral describes it as "bacterial SSU rRNA". It matches the Rfam family "Bacterial small subunit ribosomal RNA", at positions 29 to 351 of the family's 1533-position model. The record is from RNAcentral. Lineage: Bacteria; Pseudomonadati; Pseudomonadota.